RNAcentral lists this ribosomal RNA (486 nucleotides) under uncultured bacterium. RNAcentral's name for it is "bacterial SSU rRNA". It matches the Rfam family "Bacterial small subunit ribosomal RNA", at positions 30 to 507 of the family's 1533-position model. The record is from RNAcentral.
AUUGAACGCUGGCGGCAUGCCUUACACAUGCAAGUCGAACGGCAGCAUGGGUGCUUGCACCUGAUGGCGAGUGGCGAACGGGUGAGUAAUGCAUCGGAACGUACCCGGAAGUGGGGGAUAACGUAGCGAAAGUUAUGCUAAUACCGCAUAUUCUGUGAGCAGGAAAGCGGGGGAUCGCAAGACCUCGCGCUUCCGGAGCGGCCGAUGUCGGAUUAGCUAGUUGGCGGGGUAAAGGCCCACCAAGGCAACGAUCCGUAGCGGGUCUGAGAGGAUGAUCCGCCACACUGGGACUGAGACACGGCCCAGACUCCUACGGGAGGCAGCAGUGGGGAAUUUUGGACAAUGGGCGCAAGCCUGAUCCAGCCAUGCCGCGUGAGUGAAGAAGGCCUUCGGGUUGUAAAGCUCUUUCGGCUGGGAAGAAAUCGCAUCUCCUAAUACGGGGUGUGGAUGACGGUACCAGCAUAAGAAGCACCGGCUAACUACGUG